Molecule: ribosomal RNA, 400 nt
Filed under: uncultured bacterium
Lineage: Bacteria
Description: bacterial SSU rRNA
Rfam family: Bacterial small subunit ribosomal RNA
Source: RNAcentral
GGAAUAUUGCGCAAUGGGCGAAAGCCUGACGCAGCAACGCCGCGUGCGGGAAGAAGGGCUUCGGCUCGUAAACCGCUUUUCUGCGGGAAGAGCAAGGACGGUACCGCAGGAAUAAGUCUCGGCUAACUACGUGCCAGAAGCCGCGGUAAAACGUAGGAGGCAAACGUUAUCCGGAUUUACUGGGCGUAAAGCGCGUGCAGGUGGCCCCUUAAGUCGUGCGUGAAAGCUCCCAGGCUCAACCGGGAGAGGUCGUGCGAUACUGAGGGACUUGAGACAGAGAGAGGCAAGUAGAAUUCCGGGUGUAGUGGUGAAAUGCGUAGAUAUCCGGAGGAAUACCAGUGGCGAAGGCGGCUUGCUGGCUCUGUUCUGACACUCAGACGCGAAAGCAUGGGGAGCGAAC